GGUCGCCGCCGGACCCGGAAACGGGAAGAGCCGGGCCCCCGACGGGGACCCGGCUCUUCCGGUGCGCCUGGGAUCAGGCGAGGUAGU
This 87-nucleotide microRNA precursor is filed under the name Petropleomorpha daqingensis. Its description in RNAcentral is "microRNA MIR1846". It matches the Rfam family "MIR1846 microRNA precursor family", at positions 1 to 86 of the family's 110-position model. Lineage: Bacteria; Bacillati; Actinomycetota; Actinomycetes; Geodermatophilales; Geodermatophilaceae. The record is from RNAcentral.